Molecule: long non-coding RNA, 390 nt
Organism: Drosophila hydei
Lineage: Eukaryota; Metazoa; Arthropoda; Insecta; Diptera; Drosophilidae
Exons: 3
Source: RefSeq, a predicted model, not a curated record
GCAUCGCUCUUUUCUUUCAAUCUUUUCGUUAAGGGUGACGACGUGUGGCGCUGCUUUUAAUUAUUCAAUUAAAUAAAAUCGAAUUGCUUGUUAAAAUAUUUAAGAGAAAUGCUUUGGAAGAACCGCAUAACCGUUAAUUGGCUGCAUUAUAAAAAAGCCGGCCUGUUGGACUUUGGCGAUUGAACAGCGGUCUCUGCUUGGACCACGUGGUCUUUGUAUUUUGCCUGGAACUUUUAAAUUCUCAAUUUGAGAAAUGUUGCACGAGGUGCACGUGGAAGUGAAGUGGACUUCUACAUAUGGAUAUAACACAUAGCCUAUAUGAGAAAGUACAGGCCUAAUUGACUCAGCGAAUGUUCGUGAAUUUAAUGUUUUAUUUAAAUAUACAACAUA